GAUGAACGCUGGCGGCGUGCCUAAUACAUGCAAGUCGAGCGAAUGGAUUAAGAGCUUGCUCUUAUGAAGUUAGCGGCGGACGGGUGAGUAACACGUGGGUAACCUGCCCAUAAGACUGGGAUAACUCCGGGAAACCGGGGCUAAUACCAGAUAACAUUUUGAACCGCAUGGUUCGAAAUUGAAAGGCGGCUUCGGCUGUCACUUAUGGAUGGACCCGCGUCGCAUUAGCUAGUUGGUGAGGUAACGGCCCACCAAGGCAACGAUGCGUAGCCGACCUGGGAGGGUGAUCGGCCGCACUGGGACUGAGACACGGCCCAGACUCCUACGGGAGGCAGCAGUAGGGAAUCUUCCGCAAUGGACGAAAGUCUGACGGAGCAACGCCGCGUGAGUGAUGAAGGCUUUCGGGUCGUAAAACUCUGUUGUUAGGGAAGAACAAGUGCUAGUUGAAUAAGCUGACACCUUGACGGUACCUAACCAGAAAGCACCGGCUAACUUCGUGCCAGCAGCCGCAGUAA
RNAcentral lists this ribosomal RNA (515 nucleotides) under uncultured bacterium. Its description in RNAcentral is "partial 16S ribosomal RNA". It matches the Rfam family "Bacterial small subunit ribosomal RNA", at positions 28 to 523 of the family's 1533-position model. The record is from RNAcentral.